This 425-nucleotide ribosomal RNA is filed under the name uncultured bacterium. RNAcentral's name for it is "partial 16S ribosomal RNA". It matches the Rfam family "Bacterial small subunit ribosomal RNA", at positions 354 to 796 of the family's 1533-position model. The record is from RNAcentral.
GUGGGGAAUAUUGGGCAAUGGGCGAAAGCCUGACCCAGCAACGCCGCGUGAAGGAAGAAGGUUUUCGGAUCGUAAACUUCUAUCCUUGGUGAAGAUAAUGACGGUAGCCAAGAAGGAAGCCCCGGCUAACUACGUGCCAGCAGCCGCGGUAAUACGUAGGGGGCAAGCGUUGUCCGGAAUGAUUGGGCGUAAAGGGCGCGUAGGCGGCCUGGUAAGUCUGGAGUGAAAGUCCUGCUUUUAAGGUGGGAAUUGCUUUGGAUACUGUCGGGCUUGAGUGCAGGAGAGGUAAGUGGAAUUCCCGGUGUAGCGGUGAAAUGCGUAGAGAUCGGGAGGAACACCAGUGGCGAAGGCGACUUACUGGACUGUAACUGACGCUGAGGCGCGAAAGUGUGGGGAGCAAACAGGAUUAGAUACCCCAGUAGUCC